Molecule: long non-coding RNA, 21406 nt
Organism: Loxodonta africana (African savanna elephant)
Lineage: Eukaryota; Metazoa; Chordata; Mammalia; Proboscidea; Elephantidae
Exons: 6
Source: RefSeq, a predicted model, not a curated record
UUGGGAAAGAUUUUGAUUCUUUUGUUUGGGGGGUUGGAGAAGCUGUCACGGUCUGCUUCUUUAAGUGGUUUGAUAUGGAUUGUUGUCUCCGAGCCAUCACUGGGAAACUAGUUUUUCCAGAAAAUCUGCUGCGUGCAGUCCAAAUCCCUGCGGGACGGUUCUCCGGCUCGGAUGCUGCUCUUUCUGCUCCAAGAUCAGUCACUGCCUCCCGGGGACUUCUCCUACCGGCUGCGUCCCACGCCGCCCGUGGAACCGGCUGGUCCCCCUCCCGGGGUUAGUUCAGGGGGGUGGAGCAGGUCUCUGUGCUUGUGCCGUACCUGACUGGUACUCUGGCUCCAGGCUCUGGAAACUAUCGCUGCUUCCCCGUAUUAGUUCGUUCUCCGUCUCUAAAUCUGUGUUUGUUGUUCAGGGUUCGUAGAUUGUUAUGUAUGUGAUCGAUUCACUUGUUUUUCCGUGUCUUUGUUGUAAGAGGGAUCCGAGGUAACGUCUGCCUAGUCCCCCAUCUUGGCUCCGCCCCUUUAAUUCUUAUUUACACAUAUCACAAAGGUAGUUGUCACACCUGACUCACAAAUUUCAUUGUUGUCCCUUUUGGCAUAACUUUCCUAAUCUAGCAUUUUUUUUUUCUUUUUUUAACCUUUCUCCUCUCAACUCAGAUUUUCCUACAAACUUUCACGCAAAAAGUGUUUUGUUAUUGUAGUAACAGUAGUACACUAAUACUGAGGGCCAUAUGAAUGUUCACCUUUUAAUAAUUUGCUUUAACUGUUUUCCUGUCUUAAAAUAUAGGAAAAAGAAGAAUGAUCCCAGUCCUGCUUUCAAAAAUUGUGUUUCUUUGCUCCUCUUAAGUUCACUUUUGCUUCAGAGCAUGAGUCCUGACUGGAGUUGAAGAGUGUGGUCACCAAACCUAUCAGAAGUAAAGUGGCAGAGCAGCCUUAGAGCUCAGGCAGAGGGUAGGGGUCUGAGACAGUCUCACCUGGGCCAUCUGCUCUCCAUGAGGAGUGAAGAUGGGGCAGGGCAGGCAGGGGAAGUUGCUGUUGUUAGCUGCGAUCUAGUAGGCUGCUGACUCGUGGCAACCCCGUGCACAACAGAAUGAAGUGCUCUGGUGCCAUCCCCAUGGUUGCGGGUCAAACCAUGGUGACCAAUAAAGUUUUUACUGGCUGAUUUUCACAAGUAGGUCACCAGGCCUUUCUUCCUAUUCCAUCUUAGUGUGGAAGAGAAGUAGACCGCCAGGCCUUUCCUCCUAUUCUGUCUUAGUGUGGAAGAGAAGUAGACCGCCAGGCCUUUCCUCCUGUUCUGUCUCAGUGUGGAAGAGAAGUAGACCGCCAGGCCUUUCUUCCUGUUCCGUCUCAAUGUGGAAGAGAAGUAGACCGCCAGGCCUUUCUUCCUAUUCCGUCUCAAUGUGGAAGAGAAGUAGACCGCCAGGCCUUUCCUCCUAUUCCGUCUCAGUGUGGAAGAGAAGUAGACCGCCAGGCCUUUCUUCCUAUUCCGUCUUAGUGUGAAAGAGAAGUAGACCGCCAGGCCUUUCUUCCUAUUCCGUCUUAAUGUGGAAGAGAAGUAGACUACCAGGCCUUUCCUCCUGUUCCGUCUUAGUGUGGAAGAGAAGUAGACCGCCAGGCCUUUCUUCCUAUUCCGUCUUAGUGUGAAAGAGAAUAGACUGCCAGGCCUUUCUUCCUAUUCCGUCUUAAUGUGGAAGAGAAGUAGACCAGCAGGCCUUUCCUCCUGUUCCGUCUUAGUGUGGAAGAGAAGUAGACCGCCAGGCCUUUCUUCCUGUUCUGUCUUAGUGUGGAAGAGAAGUAGACCGCCAGGCCUUUCCUCCUAUUCCGUCUUAGUGUGGAAGAGAAGUAGACCAGCAGGCCUUUCCUCCUAUUCCGUCUUAGUGUGGAAGAGAAGUAGACCGCCGGGCCUUUCUUCCUGUUCCAUCUCAGUGUGGAAGAGAAGUAGACCGCCAGGCCUUUCCUCCUAUUCCGUCUGAGGGUGGAAGAGAAGUAGACUGCCAGGCCUUUCCUCCUAUUCCGUCUCAGUGUGGAAGAGAAGUAGACCGCCAGGCCUUUCCUCCUAUUCCGUCUCAGUGUGGAAGAGAAGUAGACCGCCAGGCCUUUCCUCCUGUUCCGUCUCAGUGUGGAAGAGAAGUAGACCGCCAGGCCUCUCUUCCUGUUCCGUCUCAGUGUAGAAGAGAAGUAGACCGCCAGGCCUCUCUUCCUAUUCCGUCUCAGUGUGGAAGAGGAGUAGACCGCCAGGCCUUUCUUCCUGUUCCGUCUCAGUGUGGAAGAGGAGUAGACCGCCAGGCCUUUCUUCCUGUUCCGUCUCAGUGUGGAAGAGAAGUAGACCGCCAGGCCUUUCCUCCUGUUCCGUCUCAGUGUGGAAGAGAAGUAGACCGCCAGGCCUCUCUUCCUGUUCCGUCUCAGUGUAGAAGAGAAGUAGACCGCCAGGCCUCUCUUCCUAUUCCGUCUCAGUGUGGAAGAGGAGUAGACCGCCAGGCCUUUCUUCCUGUUCCGUCUCAGUGUGGAAGAGGAGUAGACCGCCAGGCCUUUCUUCCUGUUCCGUCUCAGUGUGGAAGAGGAGUAGACCGCCAGGCCUUUCUUCCUAUUUCGUCUCAGUGUGGAAGAGAAGUAGAUCGCCAGGCCUUUCUUCCUAUUCCGUCUUAGUGUGGAAGCUCUGCUGAAACCUGUGCAGCAGCAUCAUACCAACAUGGAAGCCUCCACGGACAGUCCGGUGGUGGCUGUGCCUGAGGUUCACUGACCAGGAAUCAAACCUGGAUUUCCCACAUGGAAGGAGAGGAUUCUACCACUGAGCCACCACUGCCCCCGUGGGGAGGGGGUGAGAGAGGCAACUCAACUCACAUGCUGGGCUAGUCAUUUCUUGAGGACAAAGACUACAUCUAGUUAACACAUUCUUAACAGAGCCCAGACUGAUGCCACAUUAAUGACUCUGGGGCUCUCUCCUCUUGUGCUUUUCCAGGGCACGUUCUGGGGUUCACUCCUGGAACAGGUAAAAGGUGGGGACAGUUCUGGUGAAGUGAGGCCAGUGCUGCAGAGAAGGAAAGGAGGUCUGGUGUGGAGAUGCAGCUUUAAUGUGUGCUUUGCCAAGUAAUGAGAAGACCCACACUGUCAAGGUCACAAACUGAAUUGCUUUCCUAAAAAAAAGAAGGAAGAUAAACAGUUUAUUUUGGAUUCCAACUCAUGGCAACCCCGUGUGUGUCAGAGAAGAACUGUGCUCCACAGAGUUUUCAGUGGCUGAUUUUUUAAAGUGGAUUGCCAGGUCUCCAGGUGGACUUGAACCUCCAACCUUUUGGUUAGCAGCUGAGCACAUUAACGUUUGCACUACCCAGGAAGUCUGAGCAUCGGCUUUGAAGGAUUAAAAUGAAAUUUCAGAGGUAAAUCAAUUGGAGAGUUUGCGAUCAUCCAUGCCAUGGUCACUCCUCCUCCCCUUUUCCUAUCUGGUAAGGGGUGCACCUCGGGAACCCCCUUUGACCUUGGCUGAAGACACUGACUGGCUACCUGAGAAGAGUUCACUCUUCCCCAAGUGUGUUACUGCCUGGAGGUGACCUUUACUGGGAGCAGGGAAAGGGUUCUAGGAGGGACUACGCCCAGCUCACUUCUUCUGCUGAUAUUUUGAGUCCACUCGCUGGAAGCUGGCCUCUCUCCCGGUCCCUCUAAUGAUUAUGUCAGGUGUCUGGGAACGCUGCUCCACAGUGGCCAGGAGAAGACAGGAGAACGGAGCCUGUCCAGGACAACUUCGAUAUCCAAAGAGACUUUGGAAUUAGAGUGAUUUUAUCUCAUUAGUCAAGGAGUCCUGGGGGCACAAUGGUUAAGCACCUGGCUGCUAACCGAAAGGUCAUCAGUUUGAGUCUGCCAGCCGCUCCGCAGGAGAGAAGUCCUGGCAAUCUGCUCCUGCAAAGAUUACAAUCUAGGAAACCUUAUGGGGCAGUUCUACUCUGUCAUAUGGGGUCACUAUAAGUAGGGAUCAACUCAACGGCACACAGCAACAAUAUCUGAUUAGUCCUCAUUCUACCCCCAGAGGAGGGUUAGCUAAAGUGGCAGAUUGUGUCAUUAUGGAAAUAAGCACAAGAACCUUCUCGGGGACCGUGGAAAAGCUCAGGUUUUAGUUACUAUAGGUCAUCAGAGCUGGGUGUGGCUUGGGAGGAUACUGCCCGGGGACUGCAGAGAGCAGUUUUGGGGGAAAUGUUUGCCUAGCAAUUUUCCUUCAAUGUACAACAAAUGAACUUGAUUGUGCUGUAACUAUGGGUCCUUCCUCCCACCUCCCCUCUUGUUCAAUCGCCACCUUACGCACGCCUUGCAUACUCACAUCCAGACAUCCAGAAAUGCUUGCCUUAUCUCACUUGCUGCUCAGUAUUUGGCACAUUUCACCACUCACUCCAUCUGGGAGCCCUCUCCCACUGGUUUGGGUGCCACCCCUCUCUCCUGACCCUGAGCCUUUGCUCCAUCCUGGAUUCCUUCGGUGCUUCUUUUCUUCUUUCUGGCCCUUAAGUUCUGCGAUUUGAUCCAGAGCUCCUUCCUUGCCUCUCCUGGGGCAAUAUUUUUCUUUACUUCCUCUUUAAUCUACUCUGUUUAAUCUCUGUUCUUCCUUCGACCACAUCUUAGUGUUCCCCAAACUCCAACCCUUACCCAAGGACCCCCUGUUUUUCAGGAAUGAAUCCAUGCAAUUUCUCCUAUGAGAAUGUAAUUUGCUAAGUCAUUCCUCCAGCUUGUACUAAGUAGCCAUCACAAGAGACUACUAUACCAAGUCUGUGGGGAAAAUAGUAGAAGACAUGCAUCCCCUGGGGGAGAUUAUAAUCUAUUAGAGACAGACACACAGGGACUAGAAUGGGGAAAGAAACAGUUUAUGUGGACUUACCUGUACCAGUACCAAUUGCGUUGAGUUGACUCCGACUCAUGAUAAUCCCCAUGUGUGCCAGAGUAGAACUGUGCUCCAUUGGGUUUUUAAUGGCUGAUUUUUUGAAAGUAUAUGGUCAGGCCUUUCUUCUGAGGCACCUCUGGGUGGACUCGAACCUCCAACCUUUUAGUGAGCAUCCCAGCAUAUUAACCAUUUGCAUCACCCAGGGACUCCAGAUUUACAAAUAGCACCCGUUAUAUAUUACUAAAGGCCUUCAGUGGUGGAAACGGUUUGCACUUGACUACUAACCUAAAGAUUGGGGGUUCGAACCCACCCAACAAUGUCACAGAAGAAAGUCCUGGCCAUCUGCUUCUGUAGAGAACACAUGAGGUCCCCAUGAGUUGGAAUCAACUCAAUGGCAACGGCUUUAGUUUUUGUUUUUUUAUAUGUUAAUAAAAGACAAGCUGGGACCCACAAAAUAGAUCAAAGUCUACUCUAGACAAGAUGUGUUAGAAAAAGCUUUUCUGAGAAUGUGUAGCUUCAUCCAGGCUCUACACAAGAUUUGGCAGCAAUUUGACUGAAAGGAGACAGAAGAGGACCCCCGGUGAUAAAGCUGGCGGGAGCAAAAGCUCAGGCUGUAUCUUCCCCCUUGUGGAUCUUCAGAAGAGUCACAUGUGUUCUGUUUGGCUGUGUGUGUAUUGUAUCCCAUAGAGGCAGAGAGUCUGGCUUACUUAAUGGAAUUCUCUCCAACCUUCUGAUAAUCCCACCCCAACUUUCCCACGAGAGUGUCUCCUCUUUUAGAGACUUUCCCCUGACACACUCAGCAAUGUGUGUCCCUCUCCCACGCAGACAUUUGUUCGCCUGUUUGGGGAAGCCCGCAGCUAUGCACUGGAGGCGCAAGCUAGAGUCUUACUUUUUUUUUUUUCCUCCUAAAUUAAAAAAAAAAAUUUUUUUACUGUAGUUUACAAGAAGGUUUACAGAACAAGCUAGUUUCUCAUCCAAUGGUUAGUAUACACAUUGUUCUAUGACAUUGGUUAACAACCCCAUGACAUGUCAACACUCUCCCUUCUCGACCCUGAAUUCCAUAUUACCAGCUUUCCUGUCCCCUCCUGCCUUCCAGUCCCUGCCCCAGGGAUGGUGAGCCCCUUUAGUCUUGUUUUGUUCCAUGGAUCUGUUCAAUCUUUGGCUGAAAGGUGAACCUCAGGAGUGACCUUAUUACUAAGCUGAAAGGGUGUCCGGGGGCCAUACUCUCAGGGUUUCUCCAGUCUCUGUCAGGCCAGCAAGUCUGGUCUUUCUUUUUUGAGUUAGAAUUUUGUUCUACGUUUUUCUCUAGCUCUGUCCGGGACCCUCUAUUGUGAUCCCUGUCAGAGCAGUCAGUGGUGGUAGCCGGGCACCAUCUAGUUUUACCAGACUCAGUCUGGUGGAGGCUGUGGUAGAUGUGGUCCAUUAGUCUUUUGGACUAAUCCUUCCCUUGCAUCUUCAGUUUUCUUCACUCUUCCUUGCUUCUGGAGGGGUGAGACCAGUGGCGUAACCUAGGUGGCUGCUCACAGGCUUUUAAGACCCCAGAUACUACUCACCAAAGUAGAACGUAGAAGGUAUUCUUUAUCAACUCUGUUACGCCAGUGGAGCCAGAUGUUCCCUGAGACAAUGGUACAAGUCUUACUUUUAAACGUGCAAAAUGGACUUUAGAUAAUGGUGCAGGUUUCUUGUUCUAAAGCUAAAGCAGAGAAUUUUCUGCCUAAACGAACAGGAUUCGUGAAGAUGAAUUCUCCAUUUAGUUGUAGUCCCACGCAGAUUGUAAGACUUAGUCCACCGUAAAGAAUGUAGGAAGCCUGGCGGAUGCUACUAUUUUUAUCUUGGCCCUUCGGCAUCCGGCUUCUAAUUAUUUAAUUCACAAGGUAUACUUUAUGUUGCGAUGUUUAUUUCAUCUGUGAAGAGAGCUCUUUUCGGUAUUUGUUACUGGCUGUGGGAUUUUUGUGGGAUUUUCACAUUUUAGCAAGUGACUAUUUUAGCAUGUUAACAUCGCUUUGGUAUAGCAAGAAGUGCUGUUGGUGGGGAUGAUGGACUUAUACAGCACCAGUUUCCUGAUGUUUCUGGAUAUAGGCUUUGAGACUCAGUAUACAUAUCUGAGGGGAUAACAGAGAAAUCAGCUCACACGGUGAAGGUGCUCAGAAUGAAAAGUAAGAGCCAGGUAGACUUUUAGAAAGUUACUGGUUUUACUUUUACCAAGUUGCUUAUGAAAUAAAGAGGUGGUUCUUGAGGAGUGCAGCUCCUUGGUGAAACAAUGAUGUAUUUGUCAAAAACAAUAAAUAAAAAAAAGUGUUUUAUUUUAUAGUGUGAUUCAUAGUAUGGCAGUCCUCUCUAAUAAUAGCGGGUGCUUACGGAGAAAUUGUGUUAUUUAAUCUCUGAGGUAACCUCAGUGACAACAAGCUUUCCCUUCAAAUGCUUCGUUUACCUGAUAUUAUUGGCGAGUGAAGUUCUCCCAAAAGAAAAUCCAUUAGAAACAAGAAGAUCUUUUAGUUCUGGUUAUCAGAAGUGCACAACUUGCUGCCAUUGACUCGGUCAUUCAUUCAGCAAACAUGUACUAAACACUCUUUGUGCUUUGAGGUGCUCUUCUGGGGUCAACGAUUGUCACAGUGACAAGGCUGGCAAGAUUCUUGCUUUCAUGGAACUUACAUUCUAGAAGAGGAGACCAGACAAUAGAAAGGAAACAAAUAAAGGAACAAGAUUGUGUCAAAAAGCCCUACGUACUAGGAUGUAAAUACCAGAGUGGCAUGAUAGUCACUGGGUGGCUACUUCGGUCUGGAACAUCGGAGAAAUCUUCUCUGGGGAGGCAGCAUUUGAGCUGGACCUGGAGGAUGAGAAGAAGCCAGCCACGUCAAGAUUAGGGCAAAGCAUUCGUAGCAGAGGCUCUUGGGUAGAAAUCUACUUGGCCCUUUGAAUAAAUGCAUUUUGAAGUACAAUUUUUUAGUGUUUACUAAACAUAUUUUUAAAGUCCUUGAGCGGUGCAAAAAGUUAAGUGCUUGACCGUUAGCCCAAAGGUUGGCGGUUUGAACACACCCAGAAUUGCCUCAGGAGAUAGGCCUGGCAAUCUGCUUCUGAAAGGUCAUAGCCUUGAAAACGCUGCAUAAUUUAGUUGGGAUGCUGGUUGCCCUGAACCUGUCUGUUCUGAUGGUGCUACCAGAACAUUGCACAGUUGACAAAAGUACAAAUCAAAGAGAUGUGUAUGUGUGAGGCAAUGAAGAUAAAUGAUAUUUUAUUGUGAAAACAGUCUCUAGUCACUCUUUCAUAACUGAAAAUCCCCCUUUUCCACACCCGCUGGUCAAGCUUCUCUUCUAUUUAAUAUUUAAAAUAAAAUUGUUCAGAUUUCCUGGGGCCUUGGGACUUCCCCAGUGCCACAGGUUAUGAUAUGUCUUUUCACACCAUUAGGCUGGGGAAACCCCACACUGGGCAAAGGGCCAAUUUUAGCCUCAGUUUAGCUCAUUAAAGAGACUCAGAAUCUAAGGAGCUGCAGAGAGACAAUUAUAGGAAGGGGACAAAUAUAGGAAAACAGUACCUAAAGUUGGCUCUUUGGCUGAGAAAAAGGCAGCCUGGAAAUGGGAAGGGAUGUUAGUUCUCAUACAUGGAAGAGAAUUGCAUGGGUAAAAGUUUUUUGGACAAGAUGAGGCCAUUUUUUUAAAUGACCCAGAGACAAUAUAUGAGCUGUGAGAGAAAAUCUGUCUCAAAACCUCAUGCUCACACUUUACUGAGAACAAAACCAACUUGUAAUGUGCAAGAAAACCAAAACCCGUUGCCGCGAGUCGAUUCCAAUUCAUAGUAACCCUAUGGUACAGGAUAGGACUGCCCCAUAGAGUUUCCAAGGAGCGUGCCUGGUGGAUUUGAACCGCUGACCUUUUUUGGUUAGCAGCUGUAGCACUUAACAGCUUCGCCACCAGGGUUUCCAUACUGUGCAAGGGGCUCUUGGAAAUCAUCUAGUUUAUCCUCCCACCCAGCGGCAGGAUGACCAUCCAGCUUCCGUCUAGCCCUUGUGGUGCUGGAGCACCCGUUAUUCUGUGAGGCAACCAGCCCUAGAUGGGAUACCAUGGUUGGUCUGAAAGCUCUUCAUGUCAAGAUGAAAUCUGCCUUCCUCUAACCUUCAGCCAGAGUUCUUCCCUUUGACGUGUAGCAUGUCUUCUCUCCCUUUCUCAUGACUCAUUCCAAAUAUUGGAAAACGACCAACAGAUCCUAUUACUUCUCAGUUUUCUCUUUUGUUGUCGUUCCUUCAACUCUUCUGGCGUUUCUGGCUUUCACCAGACUGACUUAGUUUGUGGAGGUCCUUCAUAAAACACGGGGCUGGAAAUAGAAUAUACUCUUCUGGAUGGAGGCCUGAGCCCCUGGAGCUUAAGGGGAUAAUUACACUGUUAAUCUGGAUUAAGACUGUUGGCCUUUUUUGAUACCCACACUGGUCUGGUGGCUUAUAUUAAACUUGUGGUCAAAUAGGACUUAUUUGUUGUUGUUUCAUUUAUUUUAAUGUAGACAAUGUUGUUGGGAAGAAACAUCAUAAGGUUUAGUAAAGCAACAAGAAAGUUUUAUUGGGCAUAUAUUCAAAAAGGCAAAAGUGGGAAGUGGACAAGCAUGCUGCCAGAGCUAAUAUCUGCCCAAGUCCAGAGAAUAUUACAGAAUAAGCAAAGUGGGAAAACGGACAAGCACGCUGCCACAGCCAUGUCUGCCUGAGUCCAAGGAGAUAUUACAGAGUCAUCAGUAUAUAUUAGCAUUACAAACAGGUGAAACCAUUGCAAGCUUCACCUUUCCUCCAGCUGGGUCACAUUGUCUAUGCUCAAGGACAGGGAAUAAUGACCCGGAUAUUAUUUCCUAAAGCGACCGUUAUAAGCCAGCUUCCUCUUAUCCUAUAUCUGCAAUGAAAAAUUAUCUGUGUAAGUUAUGUAAUAUGUACAAUACGUUAACAUAUAUAAUGGUGAAAUCGAUUUUCCUUUUAGCAUUAUUGAUAAACAUGCUUUUGCUGCCUCCACUGCAGUCAUAAUCCAGAUGUUUCAGUGGGAGCCUUGUAGUGCCCCCCAGGGAACCUCCACCUCUUAAUUAGCACUCUCUUGAUAUAACUGUUAAACUACCCAACUAUUUUCUACUCUCCUGGCUGUUUCCAACACCCCCUAUGCAUUUUCUUCAUCUUCUCUGUAAGGAUAUUACUAGGUACUUCAUAAAGUUCUUUGCUGGAAUAAAGAUACACUAACUAUGGUAUUUCUCUGCUCUGUUAGUUUAUCGGAGUCCCUGGGUGGUUAACACACUUGGCUGCUAACUGAAAGGUUGGGGGUUUGAGUCCACACAGCGGCACCUCAGAAAAAAGGUCUGGCCAUCUACUUUUGAAAAAUCAGCCAUUGAAAACCCUAUGGAGCACAGCUCUACUCUGACACACAUGGGAUCGCAACGAGUCAGAAUCAACUCUGGCAACUGGAAUUAGUAUUAAAGGUAAAUUUGCCAUGACACUGUGGAUUCUAUUGGUCUCUUUCUGAAUCUGUUUUUCUCCUAGUGAUCAUCUCUUUAUUUUUUAAGCAUUUUAAGAAACAAGAUAUAACCUGAGUUAUUGUCUUGAUUUUCUCCUUAGACCCAGUUGUAACAGUAAGCAAGUCAGUUUCUCUCUUUUACUGUCCUUUUUUAUACAUAUAUAUAUUAAACUAUGGGCUUGAAUAUUUCUAACAUUCUAUAAUUUGGAGCCAUCUAUUAAACAGCCAAUUCCAGAUUUUUUCUAGAAUCAAUGUGAAGUUUCUAGACUCUACUUUCUCCUACUCCCAUCCUACACCCUCCCUUUGAAAUCAGGAUCUUUGACCUAACCUUAGUCUUUCUUCUUGAUUUCUUAAAUGUCACUGACUGUACUUCUCUGGUUACACCUGUAAUGUUCUCCUCCUUUUCUUUGGGGGUGUGUGUGUGUGUGUGUGUGUGUGUGUGGGGGAUAUAAUCUUUCACAUUUAAAUUAGUAAUUAUUCCCUUACUAAAUCUAUUUUAAACUUCACUGCCUUCUUAAUGGUAUCUACUCUAUCUUUUCCAGUUUGAAAAUCAUUCUUUUUUGGUGGAUAAAAUGAAUGUAAAACAGCACUAACCUAAUUUACUAGCUAACCUUAUCCACUGGAUUUUUCUUAAAAUGAUUGUUGGUUUCUUCAGUCAUUUCCCCAAAGCUCUUACUACCCCUCCCUUCCAACAAAAGAAAACUUUAAAUAACAAAGAUUGGCCACUGUUGAGGAUAUUCUAAUGAACUUCCAUAAGGCUCUGGAGGAAAUUGCAAAAGAGAAGUUCACAUAUUGUAAGCAGUAGCAGCAUCCUUUGAGUAAAUGUAGGCUUGCCAAGGUACCCACCUAGAAUCUUUCCUGGGUGGGAAAGUUUCACUGUAUUUGUCGAUGCUUUCCUCUGACUGCACAGAACUUCUUGAACAACAGUGUCUGAACAAUCUCUUAUUUGGUUCAGAAAAAAAUACUUAAUUGUUGUAAUAUUGGUACCUAGGAGCAUGGCCUGGUGGCGCAGUGAUUAAGAGCUCAGGCUGCUAACCAAAAGGUCAGAAGUUCUAAUCCACCAGCUACUUCUUGAAAAGGCUAUGGGGCAAUUCUGCUCUGCCCUAUAGGGCCACUAUGAUUCAGUCGACUCAAUGGCCACAGGUUUUUGGUUUUUAGGAGCAAGCCCCAUUUUCGUCACAUUUUCUGUUUCCAUCAGCCUUUUGGAUCUGAAGGUGGUGCUGAACAGAUCAGGCCUGAUUAGCUCCCUUGAUAAACUGUUCCUUCCAGACCUGCCUGAUAAUAAAUAUCUUCGACAAUCUCAUUUGCUCUCAAAUUUUUUGGUCUAAAAAACAGCUUUGAAAUGCAAAAAUAUGAAAUUGAAAGUUUCAGAAGUGCAUGGGAAACUAUGAAAUAAAGAUAAAAACAAAGUGCUUUGCUCCAUAUGGUUAGGAGUCCGGUCCUAAGACCUUCUCGUGCUAAGACCUCCUAAGGCUUAGUUAGUGUUGUUGUCAGCUGCUGUCAGGAUGACCCCGACUCAUGGUGAUCCCGUGUACAACAGAAUGAGCUGCUGUUGGGUCCUGCUCCAUCCCCGUGAUGGGCUGGGGAUCAGACCAUUGUGAUCCAUAGGGUUUUCAUUGGCUGAUUUUUGGAAGUAAGAUUGCCAGGCUUUUCCUUCUGCCAGGCUUUAGUCUGGAAGCUCUGCUGAAACUGUUCAGCAUCAUUGCAAGACACAAGUCUCCACUGACAGACUUGUGGUGGCUUAUAUAGGUGCACUGGCCAAGAAUGGUCUCUUGCAUGGAAGGUGAGAAUUCUACUGUUGAACCACUACUGUCUUAAGGCUUAGUCUUAAGGCUUAGUCGGCAUGAUAAAUUUGAGACAGACAUUUGCAGUGUAUUUUUCCUGUGUCAAGGUAGAAAGUAUUUAUUUAGAAACCUUUUAGGGCACUUUCAUGCAAGAGGGAAUAAAUGAGGGAGCAUUGUAAAACAGCCCUGACACGUGGUUCAGAGCAGUCAUCGGAAUCUGUUGCAAGCUCCCUGCCCACCAGGGGCAUUGUCUGAGUCUAGGAAUCCUGAGUAUUAAGAAUGACACACAAUUUUCUUUUAUAAGGUUUUCUUCCGUAACAAGCAUACCACUGUGCAUGACAACUUUAUUUCUGGGGGGGGAAAAAAAGCGUGUGUCAGUUGACAUUUAUCCACAUUUUAAAUCUUUUUCUAUGUAAAGAUAAUUUAUGAUAAAUCUUGACUAGAGCCAAGUACAAAUUUUCAAUUUAUAAUACAUCUGUAUCUGUAUUUAUUUUUGUGUGUUCAUAGCUUUUUCCUCUCUCCAUGUAAUCUGUGCACACAAGAUAUGUUAUAUCUUAGUUUAUCUUAUAAAAACUCGAUUUUUAUACUAAGUAUAAAAGCCCAAAAUGUAGCAAUUUUUUUUUUUUAAGACAAACCUCUUUUUUUUCUAUCAGACUAUUUCAUUAUUUUCAUAGAUCUUCCCCUCUAAGCCUCUGACACCGUAUGCCUGUGACUUCAUGAGCAGUGUACCUGGCCCCUCUUACGGUUAAUGAGACACGUCAGGUUGGGCGGGUUGUGGGUGGUUGAGGGGAAAUAGAGAACCUUUAAGUGGUGAACCUGAAGAGCCUCAGAGCUUCUUUUACCACAAAUGAGGUUGAAUUUCUGACCAUGUGGACUUCAGAAUAUCUGGCUCUGUUAACCUGAUGUGGCAGCGUGGAGUAGGGUGGCAAGCCACGUUGAGUUGUCAAGGAACAGCGUAGUGCUCUAGAGAAUACUGAGAACUGAUAAGUGCUGGAUGCUGCUGCUGGUGAAAUAAAUUUAUGAAGGAGAAUUUAGAGCCUGGAGCAUAUGCUAAUAGGAAUGGUACCAUGUCAGUGAGGACGCUUUAGGCUCACAGGAAACAAAUUAUAAGUCUCUCAAAUAAAAAGGAAUUUAUUACCUUAAAUAAUAAGAAGCCAGAGGGAGGACAGUCUUAGGGCUGGUUAAUUCAGUGGUUCAACAGAGGCAUCAAGGACCCAGUUCUGGUUUUGUUAUUCUCAGCACGUUGGUUUUUUUCCUAGUUUAUCUUUUCAUGGUUGCAAAGUGGCUGCAGGCAUCCCGUCCUCAGAUACUUUCUGUGAGAGGAAGACAAGGACAGUUUCUCCAUUUACUCUUUUUAUCAAGGAGGAAAACUGUUCCUAGAAGGGCGUCAACAGACCUUGUCUCAUGAAUUUUUGGUCACAGUUAUAUCGCAUGCUUAUUCCUAAACCCAUUACUGAUUUGAGUAAUAGAAUUAGUAUGACUAAAUUAGAUUAAUUAAGACUCACCUUAUGGAGCUAUAAAGGCACCCCUUUACUGAGCAUAUGGGCAUUGGAAGGGUGAAAAAAAAUUGAGGUUCUGUAAACAAGGAGGAACGGGGACGAAUGAUUGCAAGGUAGCAACCAGUGCUAUCGGCUGUGUGUUUGAACAGCACAUCUCUUAUUUAAUAAAAUGACCCUAUGGCCCUGGAAGAGAAAGGAUGAUUAGGUUUAUGUAAUACCACCCUUGCAAACAGGAUAGACAUACCCUGCUUGAAAAACAGGAGCUGUGUUUUUGUUUCUUUGUGAUAAAAAAAACUCACCCUAGUGCCAGUGAUAGCAAAAAGAAAAUCUUAGGUUUUUCGUCAAGAUAAAAAAAUGAAAACUAGGAAAUGUUGCAGACACUAUGAAAUAACUACUCAGCUGCAUUUUCAUACCCUUCACCCCUUUAUCCUUGCUCAUAGAGUCUUGAUUUCUUCUGGUGGCAUUGUGCUGACUGCUAUGGGCUGGAUUAUGAUUGAUCUAAGUGUAUCAUAGCAGUCUUAUUCUCACAUACAAAUAUUUCCAGCUUUCCUUGCUGUUAGUGGUGGCUUAUGAUACAGUCCUGGCCAAUAAGUGGAAAUCCUCUGAUGGGGAGGGGCUUCUUGGAAAACUUUUGUUUUCUUGAUAAAAGGGACAGUGUUAGAAGAGAGCUUACUGGUACUAGCUCUCACUUCCUCCUGCCGUGAAUGUGAUGCUGGGUGCUAUAGCAGCCUUCUUGACAACAUGAAGCAGUAAUCAUGGAGACAAAAAGAAAACAUGUUAUGGAUGGCAGAACAGAAAUAUAGAACUACCCUGAGUCACAAGACCAAACCUGGAGCAACCUACUUUCAGAUUUCUGGUUAUGUGAGAUACCAUAACUGAAUGGCCUUAUUGUUUAAAUCACUGUGAUUGGGGAUUUCAUUACCUGCAACUUGAUGCACAAACUGGUACAAAAACAAACAUCUCAGUAGAUGGUACAGCUAUACUGGCACCUCUUUUCCCAUCACAUUUCAGUUGUACUUUGACCCUGGGUUCAGAGAGGCUGAGUAACUUGCUGAUUGUUGAAAUGGAGCCCUUCAAUUCCAUCUCACUCCAAUUAGCCUGUUCUUAUACACUCUCAGCAUUUCAGGAUCUUCUUGAUUUUUCUACUCCUUUUCUAUACCUACUCAUGUUUUCUUUUCCAACUAGAUUGGAAGUUCCUUCAACACAGAGGCUGGGCCUUUUACUCGUCCAGUGUCCAUUACUGUACUGGCCAUAGAGAAGACUCUCAAUGGCUGGGAAGUGAAUGACACACCAUGGCAUCUCUUUUUAUCCAAGAUGGCAGGAAGGUAGGUAAGCAAAUGGCUUGUCUUAAGAAGGUGCAAACUCACUAUCUUUUUGGCCUUGAAGUUGGAAAAUAGAAACCAUAUCACAUCCUAUGCAGAUUUCUUCGUUCCAUCACUGAUCAUCAGGAGUGGACAUUAUUUGAAUAUUGAUUACAUAUAUUUCCAUUCUAUGUGAACAACUUAGAUGCAGAAUUGGGUGGUAUCCUUUAAUGGUUUGCUUGAGACAAUACAUUUUAGGAAAGCAUCUCCAUGCGUUUGAGGGACAGCCGGAAAACGCCGAAGAAGGGAACUUCACAGCUUCAAGUCUCUGACGGACACUUUACUUUUGGAGGCGGUUGGAUUGCCACAACUUCAAAAUUCCCUCGCAUGAGUUUGUCAGUUUCAGGGGAUUUUGAUUAUGAUUCAGUGAAGGGGAACAUUCAGUUGAAAUAAGAAGCUCCUGGCCUCUCUCUGUUUUUCCCCAUAGCCAGGAUGGCGCCUUGGGUGUGUUAUCAUCCAACCUCAACUUUGCACAUGUCCCAGCUUAUGGCACCUGGCUUUCCGUGGCUCACCUCGUCUUGCAAAGCCUCUGCUGCUAUUUCUUUCUUUCCAAGCACAAGUGCCUUUUGUGGCCCAAGAUAUAACUUCCAGUACAGUGCUUUGUGCCGAUAGCUGUGGGUUUUCUUUAAGGUAACUGUGGGUGGCCACGCCAUUUAUUUUCUUGCUUCCUUUUUGUUUCUGUCAAUUCUGCCCUCCACUUUCCCCCGAAGCACAUGCUGUCCAUGUAAUCUGAAUGGCCAUUUAGAGGAAAGAUCAGAAGUUUGUUGUUUCAUUACCAAUAUAAAUCAAAACUUUGUGUUCACACUGCAAUCCGAGUGAGUCCAGGAAUAGCUUUGGGAUUGCUAAGUGUCUGGGGAGCAGUGACUACACAGACAUGUUUUGAAGCCGGCUAUAAUAGUUUCUACAGCUGUUAACAGUUUGUAGAAGAAUGGCAGUAUUAUCUAUCAGCGUUUAAAAUGUGCAUGACUAGCAUUGCACAGAAGUCAGAUCGGGAUAGAAUCAGAUUUUUUUUUUCUUUCUGAAACUCAGCCAGGAAAGUCUUCAAUAACUAGAGAAAUUCUUUUCACUACUGAAAUCAACAUGAAGGACAUUGUGUUAUUAUAAUUGCUUAUAGCUCACCAUGAAAGUUGUCUUUGUAUGAGUGGAUGUACGGGCUGUACUGUUUUGUUUUUAUUUAUUCGGCAUUCUUUAUUCUAAUGUCCUUUCCUUUUUCCUGACCAGAAAGAUUGUUAUUGAGCCCUUCACAAAGCUGAAAUAAUGCAGUGUGUUAAGAAAAAUGUUAACAAUCUGAAGAAGUUAUAAAAAUUUAUAAGUUGGCUGAAUGCUUGGGAAAUUUCUGCAUAUUUUAAUAUAAAUAGGUGAAGUUGUGAUACCCUGGAGACCAAAGCCCACAUCUGGGAUACCCAGCAUUCCAGACAACUUGGCAGUGAGCACCUUCUCGGGGUUGGCACUUUGUCUCCUUGCCACCUGUUGAUGCCAACACUUUCUGCCCAGGAGAGAACCUAGCCCUAAGCCACUGUGUAAGAUGCCGGAGGUCACCAUGCUGCGAGGAAGCCCAGGCCACGUGGAGAGAUGUCAUGUAGACCUUCUGGAUGACAACCAGCAUCAACUACCAGAAAUGUGUCAAAUGGUUCAAAAGGCUCUGAAGGCAUCUGUGUGAUCUUUGAGGACCCAGUAACCUGAGAGCAGAGAGGGAUGCGGACAUUUCAGCUAUGGAUGCCAUGGUGAUCCCUUCUCCAGUUUUCUGCAUCUUGCUAAAUGCCACCAGGAGGCUGAACCUAUGAACUGUCUCAAUGGACAACUUUGCUCUCAUCUUGGAAGGUUGGAGGUGAAUGAGGUGAGGGUGUUGAUUCGCCUGGCUCCUUUCCUGCCAGAUCACCAUAACUUGACUGUGUCCUUCUAUAAGACACCACAGCUCCCAUCAAGCAUCUUCUCCAAAUAACUGUCGUCUCUGGCUCCAGUAAGUGUUCCUUUCCCUUGCUCCCCGCUUACACCGGAUAAUAAUGGCUCCCCACCCUUGCUUGCCAUGGGGUAUGCAUUUAUCUUUUGUUGGUUUUCCUAAACAUUUUCCACACUUUCAUAAAUAGGCACUUUAUUAAAUAAACUCCUCUCAAUUACCAAGUUUGAGUAUGUCAUUUGCUUCCUGUUAGAGCCCUGACUGAUUUCCAUGGAUCAGGUAUUUAAAACAUCAUUAAUUUUCAUAUUAAUUCACAUUCACAAUACUAAAGAUGGAGAAAAAAUGAAUUCAAAGACAUCUCAUAUUUUGUUUUAUCAUGUAUUAUAAACAAAAAGCAAUAUUCAUUCUGUAAGGAAAUAUACUGGUUUUAAAAAUAAAUUGUAUUUUCUACUUAGUUAAUAUCCUUAGUCUCAGGUGUUAAACUCAAAGCCAAGUAAAUUAUUCACUAUUAAUUGCUAUUUCUUUUCAGGUACAGAUACAAGGGCAAAGAGCAUAAGCUUUGAUGUCAGAAAAAUCCGGUUUUGAAUCUGAGUUCUUUUAUUACUAUCUUGUGGUUAUGGGGCGAGUUAGUUAACUUCGCUGGACCUUAUCUAUAAUAUGGGAGUGAUAAUUUCUCCCCCACGUGGUGGCUGUGAAGAUUAAAUAAGAUAAUGUUUAUAACACACUAGUUUGUUGCCUGGUACUAAUUUUAUUAUUGAAAUGUGUAAGUGAUGCUUCAUUCAUAGUGACCCUAUAGGACAAAGUAGAACUGCCCCAUAGGGUUUCCGAGGAGCAGCUGGCAGAUUUGAACUGCUGACCUUCUGGUUAGCAGCCGAACGCUUAUCCACUCUGCCACCAGGGCCUCACUGUAGGAUCAUUAUGCACUGGAAUAGACUCUAAGGCACUGGGUUAGGUUUUUGUUUGCUGAAGUGACGCAUAUGGUACAUCGAUUUGAAUGUGUCCAACAAUUAGCCUUGAGAUCUAGAGCAGCGCCUUCCAAUAGAACUUGCUGUGAUGAUUGAACUGUUCUGAGUUUGUGCUGUCCCAUAUAUGGCUAUUGAAUACUUGAAAUGUGACUAAAGUGCAACUGAGGAGCUGAAUUUUUUAUUUCAUUUAAUUCUAAUUAAUUUAAAUUGAAUAUCUCAUAGCUAUCAUAUUGGACAGCACAGGUCUAAAGAGUAACCAUAAACAUAACAAGUCAUCUUGAAAGAUCAGCAGUACCUUUUGGACCUGUGAACAUAAAAGCCAUCAGUAGGUUACAGUCACAAGUGUCAACAUAAUCUAUUCACACUUCCAGAAAAUGAUAGAAUAUAUGCAAUACUCAUGGAAAAAAAUGUUUUUGUACUAUUAACAGUAGAUAGGUUGAGGUUGCACACACGCACACACACAUAUAUACAUGUACUUAAAGGAACUAUUUUGGAUAAAUUUAUUUUUAUCCAGAUAAUCUGGAUAAUUACUGCAAUUCCUCCUUUUUCUUUGGUUUACUUAGAUAUUAGUAUGAAGACUUCUCUCCCUUUUGCCCUUCUGAAGUCCACAGCAGACAUUGCUUAUCCAAUAGAGUCCCCAUUCCUCCUGAGCCCCUCAUAGCCUCACAAUUCUCAAUAUAACUUUGCAGUCAGCUUCUACCCACUAAUUGGAAUUGGCAUAUGAGAUAAAAUCCAUUUAUUACCCUGGGAUGUAGACACAUUAUGUUAAAGGAGUAAUUGAGUAACAGGAAGGAAAAAAAAAAACCAACCAAAGAACAGGUUAUGCAAUAAAAAGGUAAAUAAAUACAUUUUGAGUUUUAGAACUAGAGAAGGCUUAACAAGAUAUCUUUUUCUUGGACUUGAAUACCUUGAAUGUAUACCAGUGUACCAUGUCUGCUGCUGUGUAUCUUCUGAUUACCCUGUAGAUCUAGUCUCCACUCUUCUCUACCCUGCUCUGUGCCCUGGGAGGUUAACCUAUCAGACUGCAUCACUGGGCUUAGUUGCCCUAUUGGAAUUGACCAGCUGGAGGCACCAGCAGAGAUCUGGUGAGUAUAUAAGAAUGAAAUUAGGGGUAUUGACUCACUUCCCUUGGGCAAUGUGGACUGCCUGGGCCCCUGUACCGCAGGUCAUAGCUACUGCCUCUGUUAGGGACCCUCUCCUCACUAUUCUCUCUCUAGUUAAAACCCUCUCCUUUCCCUUUCCUCUUCAGGCCUAGAAAUAGCAAGGGAGGCACUGCUGUUAUCAGCUGCUCAAAUCCUUGUGGUUUCCCUACACCCUGACCACUUCUCUGAAAAGAAUCUCUUUCUUAUAAACUCUCUUCAUAUUACACAAUUUGAGUGUGCCACUGUUGUCUGCUGGGACCUUGCCUGAUAGAUCUCUGAAACAGGAUUUGGAUGCCCUCACUCUGGGCCUUUGUUCCUAGAGGCAGUUGCUAUAGGGAUGAUCUAGCCUUGCUUUUCAAAGCAGUUGUUUAAUCUCACUGCCUUACCAGACACCACUCAGACCCCUCAGGGUGAGUCAUUCUGUUUGUGUGGGUGAGGUUAGUAAACUCCCCAAAGUGUAAGAAAGAUCGUCUUGAUAAUGGUGACAAAGAAUUUUCUCAAAAGUCCAAGUGCAUUAACCCAAAAACCCAGGCCCAAAUAAAAUAAACAACUAGAAAAGAAAAGAAAAAAAAAAAAAAAAACAGGAAAGAAAAAGAAAAAACCAGAUCUCUGCAUUUAGAUGCCUUGGCCAGUAACCCACAACUCAGCCAGUCCUUUCUUGGCAGCAUGUGGUCAGAGCAAUAUACACAGUUAAGAAAUUUCCCUUCUGAGCCCGUUCAUCCUGUAGUUUGGUGUGGAUGAGAUCAAUUCCAAGUAAUACCUGGAAGCUGAGGUGUUAUGUAUGUAGAAGAAUUAGUAGAAGAGUUUUUGAAGAAUCAGAUUAGGACAUUAAUUUUCUUCUGCCCCAAAGACUGUUAAAAAUGGUUCUUGGCAGAACUCACUUCCUAUAUUUUGGCCACAAGCAGAAAAGGACUGGCUCUCUCUGUCAUGAAAUGAUAGAUGGCUACCUAUCUGGUGGUUGCCUAUCUGGUGUCAUGCUUGUAAACGUGCUAAAAGCCCUUCCUCUCCCAAACCAAAAAACAACCACGAGUCGAUUGCCGUCAAGUCGAUUCCGACUCAUAGUGACCGUAUAGGUCAGAGUAGAACUGCCCCAUAGUUUCCAAGGAGCACCUGGUGGAUUCGAACUGCCAGCAUUUUGGUUAGCAGACAUAGCUCUUAACCACUACGCCACCAGGGUUUCCGUUCCUCUCCCAGACCCUGAAAUAUCUUUCUUCCCAGAAGUUCCUUCAGAAUUUCAGAAAUUGCCAUUAUGAACAUUAUACCUUAAGUAUAUUAGAGUGGUCUAUUUUACCUAGGUUAAGGCGUUGUGUUGGGGGCAGGGAGGGCAUUACAUAUCAGCUAGUUGACCUCUUGGUAGGAUUAAGUAUAUAUGGUUUAACCUAUUACCACCUAGUCUCACGUGCCUAGAGAAUGGGGAACUUGGAGUCCUGAUUUAGAAGGAGGUGAGCAAAGGUGUGAGGCAUCCAGAAUCGCUCAGGGGUGGUAGACUUGUUAGGAACAGCCUAGCGGAGCCGUUAGGUGAUAGCAGGAAGUAUGGAAUGACUGUGCCUGUGUGUGAUUGACACUGUCAUCAAAAAUAAGUUUUGCUGAAAUAUGACAAUACCAUUUAUGUAAAGUGCUCAGGUCCAAGCUUAAUAAAUAUAUUUCCUUUCCACUCAAAAUGUGGUUGAUAGCUGUCCCGGAUAGGAGGUUGUCAAGGAUACCUAAGGAUGUGUCUGAUCGGGAAGAGCUACACCAUUAUGAUCAAUCGGGAGCCAAAGUGGUUUUCAUCUGUCAGGCUGACUCUGAUUAAUUUGUAGUGCCUGAUGCUGAAAAGGGGUACCAGGCAGCAUCCAGCCUCGAUGGAUAAGAAUGACAUUAUUGAUUAACAAUGCCUGCCAUGGGCUUGGAGGUAGAGAGAUGUGACAUGCGUGCCAGAUAUUUGGCAGGCCUAGCAAGGGGCCUUUCUCUGUCUUAGUCCAUAAUCAAAAUGUCAUUUCUGGGUAUUCAGGGGCCCCAGAUUUGCUUCAGGACUCCCUAGUGCUGUCACUGGAUCAGUUUACAAGGAGUAUAUGCGUAAAACUUGUCAUUUCUUCCUAUAAUUAUAAUUUGUAUAAGAUGUGGGUUGAUGAAUUAGGAAUCUAGGCUGAGGUCUAAUGGACCAGAAGACUUUGCCUCCAAAAGCAGUGCCUUUGCUUCAGAAACAAAAACAAAAAUUUUUUCUCAUUUCAUACCUCUAAAUUAGGUCAGGAGUCCCUGGGUGGUGCAAGGUAUUAAUGCACUUAGCUGCUAACCAGAAAGUUGGAGGUUCAAGUCCACCCAGGGGCACUGCCAAGAAAGGCCUGGUGAUCUACUGAAAACUCAGCCACUGAAAAUUCUGCAGAGCAUAAUUCUACUCUGACACACACAGGGUGCCCUUAGUUGGAGUUGACUCCAUGGUAACUGGUUUUU